Molecule: long non-coding RNA, 1630 nt
Organism: Aquila chrysaetos chrysaetos
Lineage: Eukaryota; Metazoa; Chordata; Aves; Accipitriformes; Accipitridae
Source: Ensembl
AAAUUACAAAUUCACUCAUGGCAAUUCUUGUCUAUUCAGCUACAAAAUGAGAAGCAUGCAUGUUAUCCUGCAGCUUAUACCCAUACUAUGCAAUAUAGAGGUGGCUGCCUCACUUUGGGGGGAAAGCGGAAGCUCUUCAGAAAAAGCUUUCCACAGGGGAACAAGAGAACUGAAUGCUCCAUCUCCAAUAGAUUGUAAGCUGAGCAGCUGGAAUGCAUGGGGGCCCUGUGACCCCUGCACCUAUCAAAGGUUUCGCUCUAGACGUAUUGAAAGAUUCGGACAGUUUGAUGGAAGACCAUGCCUGGAGACCUUAGGAGAUACACAAAGCUGUAAAACCAGCCAAGUCUGUCCUGAAGAACCAGAACAAGACUGUGGUACUGACUUUGAAUGCAAUUCUGGUCGAUGUAUAAAGCGACGACUUGUGUGUAAUGCAGAUAAUGACUGUGGAGACUUUUCUGAUGAAGAUAACUGUGAAUCCAACCCACGAUCACCAUGCCAUAACCAUGAUAUUGAUGUGUCUGAAAUUGGCAGGACCGCAGGGCAAGGAAUCAAUAUUCUAGGAAUGCAGCCAAUGGCCAGCCCAUUUGACAAUGACUUUUUCAAUGGUCUUUGUGAAAGGGUGCGUGAUGGAAACACACGGACAUACUACCGCAAGCCAUGGAACGUGGGUGUUCUCAAUUACGAUACAAAAGCAGACAAAACCUUCACAUCUGUGUUCUACCAUGACCGUGUAAAAAUGUUACGGGAAGUUUAUAUAGAAAAACAAAAACACUUUAAUGCUGACCUGUCUCUGAAAUACACACCUACUGAAGGAAGAGUAACAAAAAUGGAUCAGAACAAAAGUUCAAGUAUCACUAUAACAAGAAUUCAAAACCAAACCUUUCUGCAUGUAAAAGGAAAGAUUCAGCUGGGAAGAUUCCAAAUGAGGAGUCGUGAUGUCCGUCUCACAGAUAGUUUCCUUGAUGAUCUAAACUUGCUGCCUGCUGAAUAUGAUAAGGGGGAAUAUUUCAAAUUCCUAGAAGAUUAUGGAACUCACUAUGCAGUCUCUGGAACUGUAGGAGGAAAAUAUGAACUUGUGUACGUGCUGGAUAAUUACGCUAUGUCUCGAAUAGGUAUCACUGUAGAAGAUGUGAAAAGAUGCCUCGGCUACCACUUAGAUGUCAAUAUUGAUGCAUGGACAUCCAACUUUCUUCAUCCUCUCUUCUUUCUUUCUGCAGCAGAACUUAAGGAUGACGCUGUCAUUGAUGAUGUUAUCUCCUUAGUUGAUGGAGGGACGAUUGAUUUUUCAGUUAAAAUAAAAGAAAUGUUACUGCGAGGAUCCAAAAUGGUUGAUGUAGAGGAUUACAUACAGUGGGCUAAGUCUUUGGUUCAUGCUCCAGUAGUGAUACAGCAACGGCCUUCUCCAAUACAUACACUUGUUCCAGUUAAGAUGAGAAACGCGUAUUUAAAGAAACAAAAUUUGGAAAGAGCAAUUGAAGACUACGUUACCGAAUACAGUGUGUGCAAAUGUGAACCCUGCAAAAAUGGAGGCACCCUUGUGCUGGUAGAUGGGGCCUGUACAUGCAUGUGCUCAAGCUACUUUAAGGGAAUUGCUUGUCAGAUUCCCAAAUCUACAUUAGUUAAAGGUUAG